UACGUAGGGACCAAGCGUUGUUCGGAUUUAUUGGGCGUAAAGCGCGCGUAGGCGGCGUGAUAAGUCUGUUGUGAAAUCUCUGAGCUUAACUCAGAACGGCCAAGUGAAACUGUUGUGCUAGAGUGCGGAAGGGGCAAUCGGAAUUCUUGGUGUAGCGGUGAAAUGCGUAGAUAUCAAGAGGAACACCUGAGGUGAAGACGGGUUGCUGGGCCGAUACUGACGCUGAGGAGCGAAAGCCAGGGGAGCAAACGGG
This 253-nucleotide ribosomal RNA is filed under the name uncultured bacterium. Its description in RNAcentral is "partial 16S ribosomal RNA". It matches the Rfam family "Bacterial small subunit ribosomal RNA", at positions 524 to 776 of the family's 1533-position model. The record is from RNAcentral.